This 2876-nucleotide ribosomal RNA is filed under the name Stenotrophomonas maltophilia. Its description in RNAcentral is "bacterial LSU rRNA". It matches the Rfam family "Bacterial large subunit ribosomal RNA". Lineage: Bacteria; Pseudomonadati; Pseudomonadota; Gammaproteobacteria; Lysobacterales; Lysobacteraceae. The record is from RNAcentral.
UCAAGCGAAUAAGCGCACACGGUGGAUGCCUUGGCGGUCAGAGGCGAUGAAGGACGUGGCAGCCUGCGAAAAGUAUCGGGGAGCUGGCAACAAGCUUUGAUCCGGUAAUGUCCGAAUGGGGAAACCCACCCGCUUGCGGGUAUCCUGCAGUGAAUACAUAGCUGCUGGAAGCGAACCUGGUGAACUGAAAUAUCUAAGUAACCAGAGGAAAAGAAAUCAACCGAGAUUCCGUAAGUAGCGACGAGCGAACGCGGACUAGCCCUUAAGCUGAUUUGGUUCUAGGAAAACGCUCUGGAAAGAGCGGCCAUAGAAGGUGAUAGCCCUGUAUCUGAAAGGGCCAUUUCAGUGAAGACGAGUAGGGCGGGGCACGUGAAACCCUGUCUGAACAUGGGGGGACCAUCCUCCAAGGCUAAAUACUACUGACCGACCGAUAGUGAACCAGUACCGUGAGGGAAAGGCGAAAAGAACCCCGGAGAGGGGAGUGAAAUAGAACCUGAAACCGUGUGCGUACAAGCAGUAGGAGCUCCGCAAGGAGUGACUGCGUACCUUUUGUAUAAUGGGUCAGCGACUUACUGUUCGUGGCAAGCUUAACCGUAUAGGGGAGGCGAAGGGAAACCGAGUCUGAUAAGGGCGCAUAGUCGCGGGCAGUAGACCCGAAACCGGGUGAUCUAGUCAUGCCCAGGGUGAAGGUGCGGUAACACGCACUGGAGGCCCGAACCCACUCCCGUUGCAAAGGUAGGGGAUGAGGUGUGAUUAGGAGUGAAAAGCUAAUCGAACCCGGAGAUAGCUGGUUCUCCUCGAAAGCUAUUUAGGUAGCGCCUCAUAUGUAUCCUCUCGGGGGUAGAGCACUGUUAUGGCUAGGGGGUCAUCGCGACUUACCAAACCAUUGCAAACUCCGAAUACCGAGACGGACUGUAUGGGAGACACACGGCGGGUGCUAACGUCCGUCGUGAAAAGGGAAACAACCCAGACCCACAGCUAAGGUCCCAAAUUCACUGCUAAGUGGAAAACCAUGUGGAAAGGCACAGACAGCCAGGAGGUUGGCUUAGAAGCAGCCACCCUUUAAAGAAAGCGUAAUAGCUCACUGGUCGAGUCGGUCUGCGGGGAAGAUUUAACGGGGCUAAGCAGUGAACCGAAGCUUGGGGUGCAUACUUUGUAUGCGCGGUAGAGGAGCGUUCCGUAAGCCGUUGAAGGUGGAUUGAGAAGUCUGCUGGAGGUAUCGGAAGUGCGAAUGCUGACAUGAGUAACGAUAAUGCGGGUGAAAAACCCGCACGCCGAAAGCCCAAGGUUUCCUUGCGCAACGUUAAUCGGCGCAGGGUGAGUCGGCCCCUAAGGCGAGGACGAAAGUCGUAGUCGAUGGGAAGCAGGUUAAUAUUCCUGCACCUCGCGUAAGUGCGAUGGAGGGACGGAGAAGGUUAGGUGUACCAGGCGUUGGUUGUCCUGGGGAAAGGCGGUAGGUUUGGAUCUUUGGCAAAUCCGGGAUCCUUUAAGACCGAGCACCGAGACGAGCCUUUAUGGCGAAGUCACUGAUACCACGCUUCCAGGAAAAGCUCCUAAGCUUCAGCUUACGCAGACCGUACCGUAAACCGACACAGGUGGGUAGGAUGAGAAUUCUCAGGCGCUUGAGAGAACUCGGGUGAAGGAACUAGGCAACAUGGCACCGUAACUUCGGGAGAAGGUGCACCCUUUUUGGUGGCUCGUGCGAGCUAUAGCUGAAGAGGGUCGCAGUAACCAGGCCGCUGCGACUGUUUAUCAAAAACACAGCACUCUGCAAACACGAAAGUGGACGUAUAGGGUGUGACGCCUGCCCGGUGCUGGAAGGUUAAUUGAUGGGGUCAGCCGCAAGGCGAAGCUCUUGAUCGAAGCCCCAGUAAACGGCGGCCGUAACUAUAACGGUCCUAAGGUAGCGAAAUUCCUUGUCGGGUAAGUUCCGACCUGCACGAAUGGCGUAACGACAGCGGCGCUGUCUCCACCCGAGACUCAGUGAAAUUGAAAUCGCUGUGAAGAUGCAGCGUUCCCGUGGCAAGACGGAAAGACCCCGUGAACCUUUACUAUAGCUUUACACUGAACGUUGAGUUCGUCUGUGUAGGAUAGGUGGGAGGCUAUGAAACUGUGGCGCUAGCUGCAGUGGAGCCAUCCUUGAAAUACCACCCUGUCGUGCUUGACGUUCUAACCUGGGCCCAUUAUCUGGGUCGGGGACCGUGUAUGGUGGGUAGUUUGACUGGGGCGGUCUCCUCCUAAAGAGUAACGGAGGAGCUCGAAGGUACGCUCAGCGCGGUCGGACAUCGCGCACUGUGUGCAAAGGCAUAAGCGUGCUUGACUGCAAGAUCGACGGAUCAAGCAGGUAGGAAACUAGGACUUAGUGAUCCGGUGGUUCUGUAUGGAAGGGCCAUCGCUCAACGGAUAAAAGGUACUCCGGGGAUAACAGGCUGAUACCGCCCAAGAGUUCAUAUCGACGGCGGUGUUUGGCACCUCGAUGUCGGCUCAUCACAUCCUGGGGCUGUAGUCGGUCCCAAGGGUAUGGCUGUUCGCCAUUUAAAGUGGUACGCGAGCUGGGUUCAGAACGUCGUGAGACAGUUCGGUCCCUAUCUGCCAUGGGCGUUGGAGAUUUGAGAGGGGCUGCUCCUAGUACGAGAGGACCGGAGUGGACGAACCUCUGGUGUUCCGGUUGUCACGCCAGUGGCAUUGCCGGGUAGCUAUGUUCGGAAGCGAUAACCGCUGAAAGCAUCUAAGCGGGAAGCGCGCCUCAAGAUGAGAUCUCCCGGGGCACAAGCCCCCUGAAGGAACCAUGUAGACUACGUGGUUGAUAGGUCAGGUGUGUAAGUACAGCAAUGUAUUGAGCUAACUGAUACUAAUGAUCCGAGAGGCUUGACCAU